GCAAGUCGAGCGCAGUCCUUCGGGACCGAGCGGCGGACGGGUUAGUAACGCGUGGGAACAUACCCAUUUCUACGGAAUAGCCAUUGGAAACGAUGAUUAAUACCGUAUACGCCCUUUGGGGGAAAGAUUUAUCGGAGAAGGAUUAGCCCGCGUUAGAUUAGGUAGUUGGUGGGGUAAUGGCCUACCAAGCCUACGAUCUAUAGCUGGUUUGAGAGGAUGAUC
Molecule: ribosomal RNA, 222 nt
Filed under: uncultured bacterium
Lineage: Bacteria
Description: partial 16S ribosomal RNA
Rfam family: Bacterial small subunit ribosomal RNA
Source: RNAcentral